Molecule: ribosomal RNA, 1020 nt
Filed under: Salmonella enterica
Lineage: Bacteria; Pseudomonadati; Pseudomonadota; Gammaproteobacteria; Enterobacterales; Enterobacteriaceae
Description: bacterial SSU rRNA
Rfam family: Bacterial small subunit ribosomal RNA
Source: RNAcentral
GAGUAAUGUCUGGGAAACUGCCUGAUGGAGGGGGAUAACUACUGGAAACGGUGGCUAAUACCGCAUAACGUCGCAAGACCAAAGAGGGGGACCUUCGGGCCUCUUGCCAUCAGAUGUGCCCAGAUGGGAUUAGCUUGUUGGUGAGGUAACGGCUCACCAAGGCGACGAUCCCUAGCUGGUCUGAGAGGAUGACCAGCCACACUGGAACUGAGACACGGUCCAGACUCCUACGGGAGGCAGCAGUGGGGAAUAUUGCACAAUGGGCGCAAGCCUGAUGCAGCCAUGCCGCGUGUAUGAAGAAGGCCUUCGGGUUGUAAAGUACUUUCAGCGGGGAGGAAGGUGUUGUGGUUAAUAACCGCAGCAAUUGACGUUACCCGCAGAAGAAGCACCGGCUAACUCCGUGCCAGCAGCCGCGGUAAUACGGAGGGUGCAAGCGUUAAUCGGAAUUACUGGGCGUAAAGCGCACGCAGGCGGUCUGUCAAGUCGGAUGUGAAAUCCCCGGGCUCAACCUGGGAACUGCAUUCGAAACUGGCAGGCUUGAGUCUUGUAGAGGGGGGUAGAAUUCCAGGUGUAGCGGUGAAAUGCGUAGAGAUCUGGAGGAAUACCGGUGGCGAAGGCGGCCCCCUGGACAAAGACUGACGCUCAGGUGCGAAAGCGUGGGGAGCAAACAGGAUUAGAUACCCUGGUAGUCCACGCCGUAAACGAUGUCUACUUGGAGGUUGUGCCCUUGAGGCGUGGCUUCCGGAGCUAACGCGUUAAGUAGACCGCCUGGGGAGUACGGCCGCAAGGUUAAAACUCAAAUGAAUUGACGGGGGCCCGCACAAGCGGUGGAGCAUGUGGUUUAAUUCGAUGCAACGCGAAGAACCUUACCUGGUCUUGACAUCCACGGAAGAAUUCAGAGAUGGAUUUGUGCCUUCGGGAACCGUGAGACAGGUGCUGCAUGGCUGUCGUCAGCUCGUGUUGUGAAAUGUUGGGUUAAGUCCCGCAACGAGCGCAACCCUUAUCCUUUGUUGCCAGCGA